GCUGGAUGUGGUGGCGUGCGCCUGUAGUCCCAGCUGCUUGGGAGGCUGAGGCUGGAGGAUCACUUGCACCUUAGAGUUCUAGGCUUUAGUGUGCUAUGCCCAUCGGGUGUCCGCACUAAGUUCGGCAUCAAUAUGGUGACCUCCUGGGAGCGGGGAGCCACCAGGUUGCUCAAGGAGGGUUCAACCGGCCCAGGUUGGAAACGGAGCAGGUCAAAACUUCUGUGCUGAUCAGAAUAAAUGUAUUUCUAUUUCAUUUUAGUGAAAUCCUUUCUUUU
This 275-nucleotide signal recognition particle RNA is filed under the name Erinaceus europaeus (western European hedgehog). Its description in RNAcentral is "Metazoan signal recognition particle RNA". It matches the Rfam family "Metazoan signal recognition particle RNA". Rfam says of the family: The signal recognition particle (SRP) is a universally conserved ribonucleoprotein. It is involved in the co-translational targeting of proteins to membranes. The record is from Rfam by way of RNAcentral. Lineage: Eukaryota; Metazoa; Chordata; Mammalia; Eulipotyphla; Erinaceidae.